GUUAUUGCAUGUUUUGGGGUCCCUGUGUGUUUUAUGAAACUAUUAUUUCUGACCAGCAGAUAAUUGAGCUUUGUGUAUUGUAGAAACUCAAUUAUCUAGCCUGGCCCAGAGGAGGAGUUUUGUGUUGCAUAAAUUGUGAGUUCUGUGUGCCAGUAAAUCAGUCUUGUUCCAGCAUUAAGCCUUGGCUCAUGUUUGGGGGAAGGGAUACCUACACUCUGGGGAUU
This is a non-coding RNA of Pelobates cultripes (western spadefoot toad), 224 nucleotides long. NCBI's taxonomy places the organism in Eukaryota, Metazoa, Chordata, Amphibia, Anura, Pelobatidae. The record is from the annotation of a GenBank genome assembly.